Molecule: long non-coding RNA, 685 nt
Organism: Gossypium arboreum
Lineage: Eukaryota; Viridiplantae; Streptophyta; Magnoliopsida; Malvales; Malvaceae
Exons: 2
Source: RefSeq, a predicted model, not a curated record
UCAGUUUAGAAAAAAAAUGUAAAAUCCUCUGAAUGAGGAGACAGGGGGGGCUCUCUGGCCUUGGCCUCAGGCCUCCGACCACUGGACCACGAGUGCCCACGCGCUAUACGCACCGACGUAUAUGGUGGCUGAAAGGCUAAAAGCCUUAUUUCCUCUCGGCCAAUCGCAGAUGUUUGCGAGAAAUCUGGCGGUGAUGAAGGCUUGACGAUGGUCUACCGGAGGCUUUGAUCACGGUGUGACUCAGGGCCUGGAAUCAUGGCCUUGAUGGGGGCACGAUCGGUGGCUAUUGAGACGGCGAGGCACUGAUGGGGUAUUGGAAACCUGCAAUAGAGCAUUGAUGGCCGUCUCAAUUCAGGGAACUGGAUAGACGCUCCCCGAAACUUCCAGAAAACAUUGCGGCACCAGGAGGGAAAGGCAGAAACCCUAGGGUUUCUUGCCUUGAUGUAAUAAUUUGGGCCAGUUGGGCCACUUUAGUCCUGGGUCUGUUUGGGUAUUUGGGCUUGGGUGUAACCGGGUUUUAGGUGGUUUACAAGUUAAUGGGUUAGUUUAGUUGGGUUUUAGGUAUUUGAUUGUAAAUGGGCUGCUAAGUGUAAUGGGUCUGUUGGGUUUAGGCUAAAUGGGUCUAUUGGGCUGGUUAUUUAUGGACUUUUAAAUGGACAUUUUAAAUAAAUAAAUAUUUAUUCAA